UACGGAGGGUGCAAGCGUUGUCCGGAUUUAUUGGGUUUAAAGGGUGCGUAGGUGGCUUGUUAAGUCCGGGGUGAAAGCCCACAGCUCAACUGUGGAACUGCCCUGGAUACUGGCGAGCUUGAGUCCAGACGAGGUUGGCGGAAUGGAAGCUGUAGCGGUGAAAUGCAUAGAUAGCUUCCAGAACCCCGAUUGCGUAGGCAGCUGACUAGGCUGGUACUGACACUGAGGCACGAAAGCGUGGGGAGCAAACAGG
RNAcentral lists this ribosomal RNA (253 nucleotides) under uncultured bacterium. RNAcentral describes it as "partial 16S ribosomal RNA". It matches the Rfam family "Bacterial small subunit ribosomal RNA", at positions 524 to 776 of the family's 1533-position model. The record is from RNAcentral.